ACAGACAUGACCGGGCUAGAUGUUGGCAUGGAAGCAAAGGUAGGCGCAAAGCCUUCGGGCCAAAGUUCGUAGGCAUUCCCCACGGGAAUCCGGCAAGCAUAGUUGGAGCGAACUGAGUGGCAGGCACAAUUGAAGUAACAAUCUCGGAGAUGAAAGUCCUCUGAGGAGGAAGAGUUGCAGGCGUUGGAGAAGAUUGACUUUGAGUAGCUAGAACAAAC
This 218-nucleotide long non-coding RNA is filed under the name Lathyrus oleraceus (garden pea). Its description in RNAcentral is "Pisum sativum (pea) long non-coding RNA (PSAT_LNC005438)". The record is from RNAcentral. Lineage: Eukaryota; Viridiplantae; Streptophyta; Magnoliopsida; Fabales; Fabaceae.